This 565-nucleotide long non-coding RNA is filed under the name Actinidia chinensis (golden kiwifruit). RNAcentral's name for it is "long non-coding RNA (ACHI_LNC001614)". The record is from RNAcentral. Lineage: Eukaryota; Viridiplantae; Streptophyta; Magnoliopsida; Ericales; Actinidiaceae.
CUUCUACUGCUGCGGAGUAACAUUUCAUCAAAUAUCUUUCCAUUUUACGUCUUCGCGCAGUUUGGCUGGCUUGUCACACUAGAUCUAUCGCUAUCGUAGACACACCUGCAGACUAGAAAAAUCUUAUAAAACAAACUUCUCAAUCAUAGUAUUAUGAGUAAGCCAAAUAAAGCGCGCUGAGACAAAUUUUGUGCAGAGCUCAAAUCAAAUCUAGAAGGCAACAGUAUGUUAGAAAGCAAUAUAGUUGCAUUGAUAAUAUAUCAGCCCACCUAAAUCCAUGACCAAAUGGUCUUCUUGUUUUUGUUCUUACAUGCCAGAGAUCAACCCCAUAUUAGAACAAGAGUCUUUGAUACUUAAGAUGAUAACUAUAGCCAUUCACAAGCAAAAACUGAACAAGAAAAUUUACCUAAAAUUAGAAGGAUCGUUAGUUUGAAACAAUAAUAAACAUGCAGAAAAAGAAAUGCAGGAAACAUCCUCAGAAGCUCAUAUUGUGGGAAUUGCCGAUAUAUAGAGCGAAAAAAACUGAGAAGAUCUAGGGUAUCAAUAACUAUUGUUGACAACUUGC